This is a long non-coding RNA of Archocentrus centrarchus (flier cichlid), 314 nucleotides long. RefSeq lists it as uncharacterized. The record is from RefSeq and is a predicted model, not a curated record. NCBI's taxonomy places the organism in Eukaryota, Metazoa, Chordata, Actinopteri, Cichliformes, Cichlidae. The transcript has 3 exons.
UGGCUGAGUUUGCUGCUCCCUGCAGCUGAAGCCAUGGGUUUUCUAUUAGGAUGGUGGCUGCUGUUCUUUUUAGUUGCAGGAAGACCUCAAGCAAAUGAUCAGGAUCUUCCCAUUACAGAUGAUCAACUGGAUUUAAGUAGUCUUAACUCUGGGAAUGACGGCAUAUAUAGCAAUGGGACAUUUGGAAAUCAUAUGUCACCCUUGAAUGCAAGUAACCACAACACAACAAUGGCUGUCAAUAGCCAGUAUCAUCCUGAAGCUGGAACCUUGAAGCAAAACAGAUCUGUGUCCCAAGAACCCGAAUCUGAUGUUCA